Gossypium raimondii (Peruvian cotton) is the source of this 107-nucleotide small nucleolar RNA. It matches the Rfam family "Plant small nucleolar RNA R71". Rfam says of the family: R71 is a member of the C/D box family of snoRNAs containing the C (UGAUGA) and D (CUGA) box motifs. The record is from Rfam. Lineage: Eukaryota; Viridiplantae; Streptophyta; Magnoliopsida; Malvales; Malvaceae.
AUUCCGUGAUGAGGACACUUUCGUAAUAAUUCUUUUUACCUUUCCCAUGCCUCAUACAAUGACUCAUUAUCUGUUUGUUGGAAAGCAGUGAUCUCGUUCCUCAACUU